GAUGAACGCUGGCGGCGUGCUUAACACAUGCAAGUCGAACGGUGAAGCAGAGCUUGCUCUGUGGAUCAGUGGCGAACGGGUGAGUAACACGUGAGCAACCUGCCCCUGACUCUGGGAUAAGCGCUGGAAACGGCGCCUAAUACUGGAUAUGAGCUGCGACCGCAUGGUCAGCAGUUGGAAAGAUUUUUCGGUCUGGGAUGGGCUCACGGCCUAUCAGCUUGUUGGUGAGGUAAUGGCUCACCAAGGCGUCGACGGGUAGCCGGCCUGAGAGGGUGACCGGCCACACUGGGACUGAGACACGGCCCAGACUCCUACGGGAGGCAGCAGUGGGGAAUAUUGCACAAUGGGCGAAAGCCUGAUGCAGCAACGCCGCGUGAGGGAUGACGGCCUUCGGGUUGUAAACCUCUUUUAGCAGGGAAGAAGCGAAAGUGACGGUACCUGCAGAAAAAGCGCCGGCUAACUACGUG
Molecule: ribosomal RNA, 467 nt
Filed under: uncultured bacterium
Lineage: Bacteria
Description: partial 16S ribosomal RNA
Rfam family: Bacterial small subunit ribosomal RNA
Source: RNAcentral